RNAcentral lists this ribosomal RNA (377 nucleotides) under Taenia crassiceps. RNAcentral describes it as "partial small subunit ribosomal RNA". The record is from RNAcentral. Lineage: Eukaryota; Metazoa; Platyhelminthes; Cestoda; Cyclophyllidea; Taeniidae.
UUUUUAAGAUAUAUGUGGUACAGGAUUAGAUACCCCAUUAAUGUAUUUUGUAUUUAAUAUCUUAGUUUAAUAACUAAAAUGGUUUGGCAGUGAGUGAUUCUUUUUAGGGGAAGGUGUGGUGUAAAGGAUGUUCCGCCUAUUAUUUUACUUUUAUUAUGUUGGUGUAUAUCUGAUUUAAUAUUAUUGCUUAAUGGUUAAAGUUUGUGUAUAUUUAUUUAAGUCAAGUCUAUGUGCUGCUUAUAAAAGUAUUCAUGCGUUACUUUAAUAAUAUGUUAGAUGAAAUAUUAAUUGAUUUAGGACUUAAUAGUAAUGUUUAAUUAGUUUGUAAAUGUGAAUAUAGUUUAGCUCAGGUACACACCGCCCGUCACCCUCGGUUA